UACGUAGGGCGCAAGCGUUAUCCGGAAUUAUUGGGCGUAAAGAGCUCGUAGGCGGUUUGUCGCGUCUGCCGUGAAAGUCCGGGGCUCAACUCCGGAUCUGCGGUGGGUACGGGCAGACUAGAGUGAUGUAGGGAGACUGGAAUUCCUGGUGUAGCGGUGAAAUGCGCAGAUAUCAGGAGGAACACCAAUAGCGAAAGGGCAGCUCGCUGGGACGUUUACUGACACUGAGGGCGCGAAAGCGUGGGAGCGAACAGGAUAGAUACCCCUAGU
RNAcentral lists this ribosomal RNA (270 nucleotides) under uncultured bacterium. Its description in RNAcentral is "partial 16S ribosomal RNA". It matches the Rfam family "Bacterial small subunit ribosomal RNA", at positions 524 to 791 of the family's 1533-position model. The record is from RNAcentral.